This 468-nucleotide ribosomal RNA is filed under the name uncultured bacterium. RNAcentral's name for it is "partial 16S ribosomal RNA". It matches the Rfam family "Bacterial small subunit ribosomal RNA", at positions 28 to 507 of the family's 1533-position model. The record is from RNAcentral.
GACGAACGCUGGCGGCGUGCUUAACACAUGCAAGUCGAACGGAAAGGCCCUGCUUUUGUGUGGUUCUCGAGUGGCGAACGGGUGAGUAACACGUGUGUAACCUGCCCUUGACUUUGGGAUAACUUCAGGAAACUUGGGCUAAUACCGGAUAUGAGCUCCUGCUGCAUGGUUGUGGUUGGAUAGUUUCGGCGGUUGGGUAUUGACUCGCGGCUUAUCAGCUUGUUGGUUGGGUAGUGGCUUACCAAGGCUUUGACGGGUAGCCGGCCUGAGAGGGUGACCGGAAACAUUAGGACUGAGAGACGGACCAGACUCGAACGGGAGGCAGCAGUGGGGAAUAUUGCACAAUGGGAGGAAGCCUGAUGCAGAAACGCCGCGUGCGGGAUGAAGGCCUUCGGGUUGUAAACCGAUUUAGCAUGUGACGAAGCGUGAGUGACGGUAAUGGGUAAAGAAGCACCGGCUAACUACGUG